Molecule: ribosomal RNA, 297 nt
Filed under: Triticum aestivum (bread wheat)
Lineage: Eukaryota; Viridiplantae; Streptophyta; Magnoliopsida; Poales; Poaceae
Description: partial small subunit ribosomal RNA
Source: RNAcentral
AUGCGCUCCUGCCGGAGGGGUUCGUGGAGUGAACCGACGGCCGCGGGCUCGUCAGCAAGCGGUGGGCACCGCAGGUGGACGUGCUCCACCACAGGGCCAUGCGGGUGGAACUCGGUGCUGGAGGGGAUCAUGGCUGGUGUGUCGAUGUUGGGCUGGCCGCUGUACGCGGACCACAGGAUGAACAAGGUGUUCAUGGUGGAGGAUCUGAGGAUCGCGGUGGAGAUGGUUGGGUGGCAGCAGGGGCUGGUCCGGGCCGACAAGGUGGAGGCUAAGGUUAGGCUUGUGAUGGAGUCCUAG